RNAcentral lists this long non-coding RNA (2151 nucleotides) under Lingula anatina. RNAcentral's name for it is "uncharacterized LOC106174631, transcript variant X1". Lineage: Eukaryota; Metazoa; Brachiopoda; Lingulata; Lingulida; Lingulidae. The record is from RNAcentral.
UGUACAUUAUUAUGUAAUACAGGUGAGCAUUUCGGUGAGAGGUGUUCAAGUAGGACCAAGGUCAGUAGAAGAUGGAGAAGACAGAGGUUCAUGAGAAGGAACGCACUUGCCAAUCAGGAAGUGAGGGGCUUAUUGCAGCUGUCCAAAGGUCUGAUCAAGUCCUCAACAAUGGCUCCGAACUGCUGUUUACCGGGUAAUUGGAUGCAUCGCCGAUCAAAGACAUCAGAUUCAUGUUGGACAUCGCUCGCACCCGGAUUGUCUCGCUUGUUGAAGUUUGUCUUGCAGGGUUGACAUUUGAUAUGUAAUCUUUCAAAUUUGAAAUGUAAUCUUUGCCUUGAAUAAUAAUAUUUUGCAUAAAACGUGCAUCAAAUUAAUUGUUGCAACAUUUAAUUGUUGAUCAGAGAAAAAGAAAGAAAUGGUUGGCGUCGACCCUGCAUAUUGCUGGUUAUAUAUUAUAAAUUUUUCUAAAUCGUAGUACUGUACUCUAUCCGCUCAUAUUGUUUCAAGGUAUUUUAUUUAUUGUAUAUAUUUAUUAUUGUGUCAGGAGGAGGCACCCCUCAGUUCUCAAACAAAAAUACGCCACUUUUUGGAGUUCACUCGUAACAAACUAAUUUUAAUGCAAAAAGUAUUUUGCUGAAGAGAUGGAUGAAAACAAAAAUUAUAGUUAUCAAUUAUUAUAAUUAUAAGGCGAUUUUUAGGUAGAGUACUGUGCCAGCACUAUUGAUUUUCUAGUUGUAGGUAAUUUUUUCUGUGGGCAAAUCUUCAGUUAGCCACUUAGCUGCGCAUUUGAAGAUAUUUUAAAUAUUUGUUUUGAAUUGAAUUGAAUUCUGAGAAAUUCCGAGAAGAAAAAUAUCUCAACUUUAUUUUAUGAAACUUUUGAGAGACUAACGGCUACAUAUAUUGACCGUUAAGUUUGAGAAGAGAACAAGUUGUUAAUUUAAAAUAACUUACAAACUGUUCUUCAAGUUAUAAUGCUUUGGAAAUCACAGCGUUAUGAAAAUGAUAAAAUUUGUCCACGUGAUUGCAGAAUUGCCCAUGUAUAAGAAACGAUCCUUUUUUAGUGUAGAUAUAGGUUUGUGACGCAUGUUAAGAAUGAACUUAAUUUGGUUUUGGUGUUUUGAUAUUGUGUCUGGUCAGUGACAGAUACACAUUUACUGUGCUGGGAGGGUUUAAAACGUUAAGAAAAUGAAACCAGGAGAGGAAUAGAUUUUCACGAAAUUACUGCGCAUUCGUUAUUGCAGUAGGGGAAUAUAUGUUACCCACGUGAUACAAAUUGUCCCUUCGUAGGGCCACCAAAAUUUAUCAGUGUUUUAUUAAUCAAUAUUUCUUUGGUUGUGAUGAAGGGGUCAUUGAGAGGAAAAGGUCUGAUUAGAUGCCAGUCCAGCACGUCCUGUUGGGGUAUUUUUUGCUAAGUGUUUCUUGAUCACUGAGCACCGGAGACCAGAGUAAGGGUAUUAGCAUUUACGAAUUAAUGAAUCUUAAGUCACCGUUUUUUCGUAAUCUUUUCAGUUUUUUUUGUAUAUUUUUCUUAAAUUGUUAUGACCAGAAUAAGCUUGUAAAUUAACCAUGUUUUUUAUGCCGUUCCUGAUUCGCAUGUGUGCAAAUUUUAGUUUUCGCUCAAAGUCGUGUCACAAAUCUACCAAUAUUAGGAUAAAAUGAAAUGAAAACAAAAUGAUGUAAAACACUCGAUUCUUAAAAAUGACUAUUUUUGUCUACCUUUUUCUGUGCGAGAAUCGGCACGACGGCAUAGAACAAGGUGUGCGUGAGUGCGAGUGCACGUGAGGGGACGACGCCCAUGUGAGAUUACAUGCGUUUUGGAAUUUUGAUUUCGUUCACACCACUUAAAUUGAACACUGCUCCUCGAUGGAAUUAGUAAUCAACUAUUAAAGUCAACUUCGAACAAAAGUUGAUAAGUAUGAUAUGGUUGGACUUUCAAUUUAUCUACCAGUUCUGGUCAAUUUUUUAAAUGAAUUUUGUUUUGGUAAGCAUUAUGUCGAAAUCUCUUUUAUAUAAAUAAAAAGAAUUCGUUGAUUCAGCAGCAAUUUCCAAAGUGCAUAAAAUACUUUUUAUGUAUGUAGUAGACUUCUUGUAUUUUUUUGUUAAAGCAUAAUUUAUAGAUUUUUUUUUUAGAAAUUUGACGCUUUUAUAAAG